Molecule: ribosomal RNA, 503 nt
Filed under: uncultured bacterium
Lineage: Bacteria
Description: partial 16S ribosomal RNA
Rfam family: Bacterial small subunit ribosomal RNA
Source: RNAcentral
AUUGAACGCUGGCGGCAGGCUUAACACAUGCAAGUCGAGCGGGGUGAUGGUGCUUGCACUAUCACUUAGCGGCGGACGGGUGAGUAAUGCUUAGGAAUCUGCCUAUUAGUGGGGGACAACAUCCCGAAAGGGAUGCUAAUACCGCGUACGUCCUACGGGAGAAAGCAGGGGAUCACUUGUGACCUUGCGCUAAUAGAUGAGCCUAAGUCGGAUUAGCUAGUUGGUGGGGUAAAGGCCUACCAAGGCGACGAUCUGUAGCGGGUCUGAGAGGAUGAUCCGCCACACUGGGACUGAGACACGGCCCAGACUCCUACGGGAGGCAGCAGUGGGGAAUAUUGGACAAUGGGGGGAACCCUGAUCCAGCCAUGCCGCGUGUGUGAAGAAGGCCUUAUGGUUGUAAAGCACUGUAAGCGAGGAGGAGGCUCUUUUGGUUAAUACCCAAGAUGAGUGGACAUUACUCGCAGAAUAAGCACCGGCUAACUCUGUGCCAGCAGCCGCCGUAA